GUGCUAAGGUAGCACAAUAACUUGUCUCCUAAUUUGAGAAUAGAAUGAAUGAAUAAACGAUAAGAAGCCUGUCUCAUUAUAAACCAAAAAAAUUUAUAUGGGGGUGAAAAAUCCUCCCAUUACAUAAAAAGACAAAAAGACCCUAGAAGCUUUUAAAUAAUAGAUAACGUCUCCUCUAUAUUUUUUUGCUGGGAGGGCAUAAAGUAAACAAAACACUUUAAAUAAAAAGAAUUGUAUCUACUUAAUUCAACCCCAAUAAGAAUAUAAGUAAGCUACUCUAGGGGUAACAGGCUAAUGCUCCUUAAGAGUACUUAUUGACAGGAGUGUUUGGCACCUCGAUGUUGGCUUAGGGAGCUUGUUUUAUGCAGAAGUAAAAUAAAGAGGUUUGUUCAACCUUUAAUCCCCUACGUGAUCUGAG
RNAcentral lists this ribosomal RNA (418 nucleotides) under Trypanosyllis krohnii. RNAcentral describes it as "partial 16S large subunit ribosomal RNA". It matches the Rfam family "Bacterial large subunit ribosomal RNA", at positions 1948 to 2609 of the family's 2925-position model. The record is from RNAcentral. Lineage: Eukaryota; Metazoa; Annelida; Polychaeta; Phyllodocida; Syllidae.